RNAcentral lists this ribosomal RNA (230 nucleotides) under uncultured bacterium. Its description in RNAcentral is "partial 16S ribosomal RNA". It matches the Rfam family "Bacterial small subunit ribosomal RNA", at positions 334 to 582 of the family's 1533-position model. The record is from RNAcentral.
GACCUACGGGGGGCAGCAGUGGGGAAUAUUGCACAAUGGGGGAAACCCUGAUGCAGCAACGCCGCGUGAAGGAAGACGGUUUUCGGAUUGUAAACUUCUGUUCUUAGUGAAGGAAAAUGACGGUAGCUAAGAAGCAAGCCACGGCUAACUAGGUGCCAGCAGCCGCGGUAAUACGUAGGUGGCAGGCGUUUUCCGGAAUUACUGGGUGUAAAGGGAGCGCAGGCGGGAAG